UGGUUCUGGCAUCGAUGAAGAACGCAGCGAAAUGCGAUAAGUAAUGUGAAUUGCAGAAUUCAGUGAAUCAUCGAAUCUUUGAACGCACAUUGCGCCCUCUGGUAUUCCGGGGGGCAUGCUUGUUCGAGCGUCAUUACACCACUCAAGCUAAGCUUGGUAUUGGGAAGCUGCUCCUCCGGGGGCAUUCCUAAAAAUAAGCGGCAGAGCAACUAGAAUUCUCAGCGCAGUAAAUUUUCAUCUCGUUGUGGAAGGCUAGCUAUUCUCGCCGGAAACCAGCUGUUUAGGCAGCUAUUUUUUCCAUGGUUGACCUCGGAUCAAGUAGGGAUACCCGCUGA
This 335-nucleotide unclassified non-coding RNA is filed under the name uncultured fungus. RNAcentral's name for it is "partial contains 5.8S ribosomal RNA and internal transcribed spacer 2". The stretch from base 1 to 133 matches the Rfam family "5.8S ribosomal RNA", at positions 22 to 154 of the family's 154-position model. The record is from RNAcentral. Lineage: Eukaryota; Fungi.